CCCUAACCAAAAACCUUAACUCCAUUUCUACUACGUUCAGCUUCUCUCUCGCUUAGACACUUCAGUCUUCACUGGGAAAAUGGCUUGGCGCAGUGCUGGAUCCUUCUCUCGCUCUGUCAUCUCCGCCUCCAGGGCUCCUUCGCUCCGCUCCCCUCCACCGGUUCCCCGUCUCCGUCCCCCAACAUCCUCCGCUCCUCGUCUCCAGUCCCGCCGCAUCUCUUAUGCUCCUUCCAGAAAUUUGGGAGAAUUGGGAUGCUUCCAAUCAUUCUUGCCUCUGAAUAGCAUGGUUCCCACAGCUCGUCUUACGUCACACUUGACUGUUAACGUGCGGGCUUGUUGUGAGCUGUCCCAUGGUACCUUCUGUCGAACUUGUCAGGAUCGCUAGUAGUCUCUUUGGAGGAAUGGAAAAGAUGGGUGACGCACGUCGACUUUCAAUCAGCUAAAGGAGAGAGAAUUAUACCAAAUUGUACUUGAAAGCCCAACAGCAGAGUGCAAUUGGAUGAGUGUGCAAGAGAUUAGUUUGUUGCUUUUGGGAGUCGGAAGCCAAGUCCUCUGAGUAAAAAAGUCUUUAAAAAACAUGUUAUUUAGUGUCUUCAUGUGAUGCCUGCUGCAUGGUAUUUGACACCUUUAGCAUAUAAGUUCUGUUUUAUAAUAUUUCGUUAUGACUUUACAUUUCACAAAAAUAUCAAAUUAUGCUUUUUCA
Molecule: RNA transcript, 703 nt
Organism: Hibiscus syriacus
Lineage: Eukaryota; Viridiplantae; Streptophyta; Magnoliopsida; Malvales; Malvaceae
Gene name: protein NONRESPONDING TO OXYLIPINS 2, mitochondrial-like
Exons: 4
Source: RefSeq, a predicted model, not a curated record